UGCGUAGGCGGCCAAUUAAGUAGGGUGUGAAAGCUCUCGGCUCAACCGAGGAAUUGCGCUCUAAACUGGUUGGCUUGAGUAAGAUAGGGGUGUGCGGAACUUCCGGUGGAGCGGUGAAAUGUGUUGAUAUCGGAAGGAACACCAGUAGCGAAAGCGGCACACUGGGUCUUAACUGACGCUGAGGCACGAAAGCUAGGGGAGCGAACG
Molecule: ribosomal RNA, 207 nt
Filed under: uncultured bacterium
Lineage: Bacteria
Description: partial 16S ribosomal RNA
Rfam family: Bacterial small subunit ribosomal RNA
Source: RNAcentral